This 459-nucleotide ribosomal RNA is filed under the name uncultured bacterium. RNAcentral describes it as "bacterial SSU rRNA". It matches the Rfam family "Bacterial small subunit ribosomal RNA", at positions 29 to 507 of the family's 1533-position model. The record is from RNAcentral.
AGUGAACGCUGGCGGCGUGCUUAACACAUGCAAGUCGAACGGAUCAAAGUAGCUUGCUAUUUUGGUUAGUGGCGCACGGGUGAGUAAUGUAUAGCUAACCUGCCCUUUAGUGGGGGACAACAGUUGGAAACGACUGCUAAUACCCCAUACUCCUUCUUGCCAUAAGGUGAGUCGGGAAAGAUUUAUUGCUAAAGGAUGGGGCUUUAUUGUAUCAGCUAGUUGGUGGGGUAACGGCCUACCAAGGCUAUGACGCAUGCCUGGUCUGAGAGGAUGAUCAGGCACACUGGAACUGAGACACGGUCCAGACUCCUACGGGAGGCAGCAGUGGGGAAUAUUGCACAAUGGAGGAAACUCUGAUGCAGCAACGCCGCGUGGAGGAUGACGCAUUUCGGUGUGUAAACUCCUUUAUAAGGAAGAUAAUGACGGUACCUUAUGAAUAAGACACGGCCUAACUCCGUG